AAUCAGGUCCCUUGCCCUGAUUCUUCAUCUGAGAAACAGUGAGGGGACUCUCCCCUUCCCUCCUACAGGAGCGCUGUGAUACUAGCCCCUAUCCCAUGGAAACUGGCUGAGCACCUGCUUUGCCACACACUCUGGAGUCCAAGCAGGAGGCCUACGCCUGUCUGCUCAGGAUGUGAUCACCGUCCUACUAGAAAGAGAUGAAGGGCUACAGGUGCCAGGAAGGCUGGGUGGAUUUGCACUGGAAAAUCGGAAUGCUGUUCAGGAGAGCCAAGGCCCGACCCAGAAAUAUGAAGUGGCUUGUGCAGAUCCAGAAACCUGCCUGAAGGUCUGUAGCAACCCCUCUGGCUGCUCUGACAUCGCGUAUCCCAAACUGGUGCUGGAACUCCUGCCCACAGGGCUCCGUGGGCUCAUGAUGGCUGUGAUGGUGGCGGCGCUCAUGUCCUCCCUCACCUCCAUCUUUAAUAGUGCCAGCACCAUCUUCACCAUGGACCUCUGGAACUACAUGCGGCCUCGGGCGUCAGAGAAGGAGCUCAUGAUUGUUGGCAGGUAAGGUACUGAGUGGAACUGGGGAGGGAGAGUGAAAAGUUUAGAUACCCAGGGAGGAGAAAGCUGAGCCCAUCCAGAGAUAAAGCCCGGCCAGCCACUCAUCGUGGAGGCUCAGCCUCCUUUGAUGGCAAAGGUGAGAUUCAUUAGGACUCUGUGUACAAAUAAAUCACUCAUCGAAGAGAUGUUCACUGAGCACCUACUAUGUGCCCCGUGGCCGGAGAGAGAGCAGGGAAAAGCAGAGAUUCAGUAUCUGCUUUCACAAAGCUAAAGAGAAGAUAAUUAAAGAGAGAGGAUAAUUAAAAAGAA
Molecule: long non-coding RNA, 852 nt
Organism: Ailuropoda melanoleuca (giant panda)
Lineage: Eukaryota; Metazoa; Chordata; Mammalia; Carnivora; Ursidae
Exons: 3
Source: RefSeq, a predicted model, not a curated record